This 551-nucleotide ribosomal RNA is filed under the name Matsucoccus macrocicatrices (white pine fungus scale). RNAcentral describes it as "bacterial SSU rRNA". It matches the Rfam family "Eukaryotic small subunit ribosomal RNA", at positions 67 to 559 of the family's 1831-position model. The record is from RNAcentral. Lineage: Eukaryota; Metazoa; Arthropoda; Insecta; Hemiptera; Margarodidae.
AAGCCGGCUAGUACGGUGAAACCGCGAAAGGCUCAUUAAAUCAGUUAUGGUUCCUUAGAUCCUACCCACGAUACUUGGAUAUCUGUGGUAAUUCUAGAGCUAAUACAUGCCGACGGAGCUCCGAACGGUCGCGCGAGUUCGCUCGUUGCGAUACGGGAGGGGCGCUUUUAUUAGAUCAAAACUGGCCAGGCGACGUUUACGCGUCGUCAGUGGCCCGCGCAUAGAUUUGGCGAUUCUGAAUAACUUUGAGCUGAUCGCACGGUCCUCGUACCGGCGACGUAUCUUUCAAAUGUCUGCCUUAUCAACUGUCGACGGUAGGUUCGACGCCUACCGUGGUGGUAACGGGUAACGGGGAAUCAGGGUUCGAUUCCGGAGAGGGAGCCUGAGAAACGGCUACCACAUCCAAGGAAGGCAGCAGGCGCGCAAAUUACCCACUCCCGGCACGGGGAGGUAGUGACGAAAAAUAACGAUACGGGACUCUUAUGAGGCCCCGUAAUCGGAAUGAGUACACUUUAAAACCUUGGUCACACGAGGAUCAAUUGGAGGGCAAG